RNAcentral lists this ribosomal RNA (2930 nucleotides) under Bacillus amyloliquefaciens. Its description in RNAcentral is "23S ribosomal RNA". It matches the Rfam family "Bacterial large subunit ribosomal RNA". RNAcentral also lists the same sequence under 1 other name. Lineage: Bacteria; Bacillati; Bacillota; Bacilli; Caryophanales; Bacillaceae. The record is from RNAcentral.
GGUUAAGUUAGAAAGGGCGCACGGUGGAUGCCUUGGCACUAGGAGCCGAUGAAGGACGGGACGAACACCGAUAUGCUUCGGGGAGCUGUAAGCAAGCUUUGAUCCGGAGAUUUCCGAAUGGGGAAACCCACCACUCGUAAUGGAGUGGUAUCCAUAUCUGAAUACAUAGGAUAUGAGAAGGCAGACCCGGGGAACUGAAACAUCUAAGUACCCGGAGGAAGAGAAAGCAAAUGCGAUUCCCUGAGUAGCGGCGAGCGAAACGGGACCAGCCCAAACCAAGAGGCUUGCCUCUUGGGGUUGUAGGACACUCUGUACGGAGUUACAAAGGAACGAGGUAGAUGAAGAGGUCUGGAAAGGCCCGCCAUAGGAGGUAACAGCCCUGUAGUCAAAACUUCGUUCUCUCCUGAGUGGAUCCUGAGUACGGCGGAACACGUGAAAUUCCGUCGGAAUCCGGGAGGACCAUCUCCCAAGGCUAAAUACUCCCUAGUGACCGAUAGUGAACCAGUACCGUGAGGGAAAGGUGAAAAGCACCCCGGAAGGGGAGUGAAAGAGAUCCUGAAACCGUGUGCCUACAAGUAGUCAGAGCCCGUUAACGGGUGAUGGCGUGCCUUUUGUAGAAUGAACCGGCGAGUUACGAUCCCGUGCAAGGUUAAGCAGAAGAUGCGGAGCCGCAGCGAAAGCGAGUCUGAAUAGGGCGAAUUGAGUACGUGGUCGUAGACCCGAAACCAGGUGAUCUACCCAUGUCCAGGGUGAAGUUCAGGUAACACUGAAUGGAGGCCCGAACCCACGCACGUUGAAAAGUGCGGGGAUGAGGUGUGGGUAGGGGUGAAAUGCCAAUCGAACCUGGAGAUAGCUGGUUCUCUCCGAAAUAGCUUUAGGGCUAGCCUCAAGGUAAGAGUCUCGGAGGUAGAGCACUGAUUGGACUAGGGGCCCCUACCGGGUUACCGAAUUCAGUCAAACUCCGAAUGCCGAUGACUUAUCCUUGGGAGUCAGACUGCGAGUGAUAAGAUCCGUAGUCAAAAGGGAAACAGCCCAGACCGCCAGCUAAGGUCCCAAAGUAUACGUUAAGUGGAAAAGGAUGUGGAGUUGCUUAGACAACCAGGAUGUUGGCUUAGAAGCAGCCACCAUUUAAAGAGUGCGUAAUAGCUCACUGGUCGAGUGACUCUGCGCCGAAAAUGUACCGGGGCUAAACGUAUCACCGAAGCUGCGGACUGUUCUUCGAACAGUGGUAGGAGAGCGUUCUAAGGGCUGUGAAGCAAGACCGGAAGGACUUGUGGAGCGCUUAGAAGUGAGAAUGCCGGUAUGAGUAGCGAAAGAGGGGUGAGAAUCCCCUCCACCGAAUGCCUAAGGUUUCCUGAGGAAGGCUCGUCCGCUCAGGGUUAGUCGGGACCUAAGCCGAGGCCGAAAGGCGUAGGCGAUGGAUAACAGGUUGAUAUUCCUGUACCACCUCCUCACCAUUUGAGCAAUGGGGGGACGCAGGAGGAUAGGGUAAGCGCGGUAUUGGAUAUCCGCGUCCAAGCAGUUAGGCUGGGAAAUAGGCAAAUCCGUUUCCCGUGAAGGCUGAGCUGUGAUGGCGAGCGAAUUAUAGUAGCGAAGUUCCUGAUUCCACACUGCCAAGAAAAGCCUCUAGCGAGGUGAGAGGUGCCCGUACCGCAAACCGACACAGGUAGGCGAGGAGAGAAUCCUAAGGUGAUCGAGAGAACUCUCGUUAAGGAACUCGGCAAAAUGACCCCGUAACUUCGGGAGAAGGGGUGCUCUGUUAGGGUGCAAGCCCGAGAGAGCCGCAGUGAAUAGGCCCAGGCGACUGUUUAGCAAAAACACAGGUCUCUGCGAAGCCGUAAGGCGAAGUAUAGGGGCUGACGCCUGCCCGGUGCUGGAAGGUUAAGAGGAGCGCUUAGCGUAAGCGAAGGUGCGAAUUGAAGCCCCAGUAAACGGCGGCCGUAACUAUAACGGUCCUAAGGUAGCGAAAUUCCUUGUCGGGUAAGUUCCGACCCGCACGAAAGGCGCAACGAUCUGGGCACUGUCUCAACGAGAGACUCGGUGAAAUUAUAGUACCUGUGAAGAUGCAGGUUACCCGCGACAGGACGGAAAGACCCCGUGGAGCUUUACUGCAGCCUGAUAUUGAAUGUUGGUACAGCUUGUACAGGAUAGGUAGGAGCCUUGGAAACCGGAGCGCCAGCUUCGGUGGAGGCAUCGGUGGGAUACUACCCUGGCUGUAUUGACCUUCUAACCCGCCGCCCUUAUCGGGCGGGGAGACAGUGUCAGGUGGGCAGUUUGACUGGGGCGGUCGCCUCCUAAAAGGUAACGGAGGCGCCCAAAGGUUCCCUCAGAAUGGUUGGAAAUCAUUCGCAGAGUGUAAAGGCACAAGGGAGCUUGACUGCGAGACCUACAAGUCGAGCAGGGACGAAAGUCGGGCUUAGUGAUCCGGUGGUUCCGCAUGGAAGGGCCAUCGCUCAACGGAUAAAAGCUACCCCGGGGAUAACAGGCUUAUCUCCCCCAAGAGUCCACAUCGACGGGGAGGUUUGGCACCUCGAUGUCGGCUCAUCGCAUCCUGGGGCUGUAGUCGGUCCCAAGGGUUGGGCUGUUCGCCCAUUAAAGCGGUACGCGAGCUGGGUUCAGAACGUCGUGAGACAGUUCGGUCCCUAUCCGUCGCGGGCGCAGGAAAUUUGAGAGGAGCUGUCCUUAGUACGAGAGGACCGGGAUGGACGCACCGCUGGUGUACCAGUUGUUCUGCCAAGGGCAUCGCUGGGUAGCUAUGUGCGGACGGGAUAAGUGCUGAAAGCAUCUAAGCAUGAAGCCCCCCUCAAGAUGAGAUUUCCCAUUCCGCAAGGAAGUAAGAUCCCUGAAAGAUGAUCAGGUUGAUAGGUCUGAGGUGGAAGUGUGGCGACACAUGGAGCUGACAGAUACUAAUCGAUCGAGGACUUAACCAA